GGCGAGAUGGCCGAGUGGUUAAGGCGACAGACUAGAAAAUCUCGAGACAUCUGUUGGGUUCGCCCGCGUAGGUUCAAAUCCUGCUCUCGUCG
RNAcentral lists this transfer RNA (92 nucleotides) under Stachybotrys elegans. It matches the Rfam family "tRNA". Rfam says of the family: Transfer RNA (tRNA) molecules are approximately 80 nucleotides in length. The record is from Rfam by way of RNAcentral. Lineage: Eukaryota; Fungi; Ascomycota; Sordariomycetes; Hypocreales; Stachybotryaceae.